UGGCAGAGCGCUGGCGGCGUGCCUAAUACAUGCAAGUCGAGCGAAUGGAUUAAGAGCUUGCUCUUAUGAAGUUAGCGGCGGACGGGUGAGUAACACGUGGGUAACCUGCCCAUAAGACUGGGAUAACUCCGGGAAACCGGGGCUAAUACCGGAUAACAUUUUGAACCGCAUGGUUCGAAAUUGAAAGGCGGCUUCGGCUGUCACUUAUGGAUGGACCCGCGUCGCAUUAGCUAGUUGGUGAGGUAACGGCUCACCAAGGCAACGAUGCGUAGCCGACCUGAGAGGGUGAUCGGCCACACUGGGACUGAGACACGGCCCAGACUCCUACGGGAGGCAGCAGUAGGGAAUCUUCCGCAAUGGACGAAAGUCUGACGGAGCAACGCCGCGUGAGUGAUGAAGGCUUUCGGGUCGUAAAACUCUGUUGUUAGGGAAGAACAAGUGCUAGUUGAAUAAGCUGGCACCUUGACGGCACCUAACCAGAAAGCCACGGCUAACUACGUGCCAGCAGCCGCGGUAAUACGUACGUGGCAAGCGUUUAUCCAGAAUUUUGGGGCGUAAUCGCGCGCCAGUGGGUUCUAACUCGGAGCGACAGCG
Molecule: ribosomal RNA, 594 nt
Filed under: Bacillus cereus
Lineage: Bacteria; Bacillati; Bacillota; Bacilli; Caryophanales; Bacillaceae
Description: bacterial SSU rRNA
Rfam family: Bacterial small subunit ribosomal RNA
Source: RNAcentral